UACGUAGGGGGCGAGCGUUGUCCGGAUUUAUUGGGCGUAAAGAGCUCGUAGGCGGUUGGGUAAGUCGGGGGUGAAAACUCAGGGCUCAACUCUGAGACGUCACUCGAUACUGCUCUGACUCGAGUCCGGUAGGGGAGCGUGGAAUUCCCGGUGUAGAGGUGAAAUGCGCAGAUAUCGGGAGGAACACCAGUGGCGAAGGCGGCGCUCUGGGCCGGAACUGACGCUGAGGAGCGAAAGCGUGGGUAGCAAACAGG
Molecule: ribosomal RNA, 254 nt
Filed under: uncultured bacterium
Lineage: Bacteria
Description: partial 16S ribosomal RNA
Rfam family: Bacterial small subunit ribosomal RNA
Source: RNAcentral